Solea senegalensis (Senegalese sole) is the source of this 181-nucleotide long non-coding RNA. RefSeq lists it as uncharacterized. The transcript is spliced from 3 exons. NCBI's taxonomy places the organism in Eukaryota, Metazoa, Chordata, Actinopteri, Pleuronectiformes, Soleidae. The record is from RefSeq and is a predicted model, not a curated record.
ACUCCCACAAAUCCCAUGUUCAUUCCUGUUAUACAGUGAACGGUGCUCUGACUUCACAUGGCUGCCACUUUGCCGCACAACCAUUGCCACAUGUAGGUGCAGUAAGUGGAAGUCUGUUUAGGGAAAACUUCCUCUCCUUGUCUAAUCCUCCUUAACCUCACCAUAAAACAUAUCGUCAUGG